CGCCGCGUGAGGGAUGACGGCCUUCGGGUUGUAAACCUCUUUUAGCAGGGAAGAAGCGAAAGUGACGGUACCUGCAGAAAAAGCGCCGGCUAACUACGUGCCAGCAGCCGCGGUAAUACGUAGGGCGCAAGCGUUAUCCGGAAUUAUUGGGCGUAAAGAGCUCGUAGGCGGUUUGUCGCGUCUGCUGUGAAAACCCGAGGCUCAACCUCGGGCCUGCAGUGGGUACGGGCAGACUAGAGUGCGGUAGGGGAGAUUGGAAUUCCUGGUGUAGCGGUGGAAUGCGCAGAUAUCAGGAGGAACACCGAUGGCGAAGGCAGAUCUCUGGGCCGUUACUGACGCUGAGGAGCGAAAGGGUGGGGAGCAAACAGGCUUAGAUACCCUGGUAGUCCACCCCGUAAACGUUGGGAACUAGUUGUGGGGGCCUUUCCACGGUCUCCGUGACGCAGCUAACGCAUUAAGUUCCCCGCCUGGGGAGUACGGCCGCAAGGCUAAAACUCAAAGGAAUUGACGGGGACCCGCACAAGCGGCGGAGCAUGCGGAUUAAUUCGAUGCAACGCGAAGAACCUUACCAAGGCUUGACAUACACCGGAAACGUCUGGAAACAGUCGCCCCUUUUUGGUCGGUGUACAGGUGGUGCAUGGUUGUCGUCAGCUCGUGUCGUGAGAUGUUGGGUUAAGUCCCGCAACGAGCGCAACCCUCGUUCUAUGUUGCCAGCACGUUAUGGUGGGAACUCAUGGGAUACUGCCGGGGUCAACUCGGAGGAAGGUGGGGAUGACGUCAAAUCAUCAUGCCCCUUAUGUCUUGGGCUUCACGCAUGCUACAAUGGCCGGUACAAAGGGCUGCAAUACCGUGAGGUGGAGCGAAUCCCAAAAAGCCGGUCCCAGUUCGGAUUGAGGUCUGCAACUCGACCUCAUGAAGUCGGAGUCGCUAGUAAUCGCAGAUCA
Molecule: ribosomal RNA, 944 nt
Filed under: Corynebacterium alkanolyticum
Lineage: Bacteria; Bacillati; Actinomycetota; Actinomycetes; Mycobacteriales; Corynebacteriaceae
Description: bacterial SSU rRNA
Rfam family: Bacterial small subunit ribosomal RNA
Source: RNAcentral